Molecule: ribosomal RNA, 972 nt
Filed under: Cylicostephanus minutus
Lineage: Eukaryota; Metazoa; Nematoda; Chromadorea; Rhabditida; Strongylidae
Description: large subunit ribosomal RNA
Source: RNAcentral
UAAAAAUUAAUUUUUUAUUUAUAGGUAUUGCAUAUCAAUUAAAGAAAAUUUUAUAAUUUAUAAAAUAUAGAAUUAAAAGGUAGAAAUUUUUAUAUUUUUAUUGUUUCAUAAUAAAAAUUAUAAAAUUUAGGGUUGAAAAGUCGACUUUUAGGAUAUUUGUGUGAUAAUAAUUUAUUAGAAAUUUAUAAUUUUUAGGUAAUAAUAAUAUAAAAAGUAAAAGUUGAAGUAUUUUUAUAGAUAGUUUUAUAACUAUUUAUGUGUUUAUUUUAUUAACAGUUUAAGGAAGAGCUAAAUUUAUUAAGAUGUGUAAUAAUUUUAUUAUUUUAAUAUAAGUAAUUUUAAAAAUUAUUUGUGAUUAUUUAAUUUAAUAAAAUAACUAAAUAAUUAAUCAAAUGUUUUUUAAAGACUUAGACUUUCAAGUAAAGUUUGCUUCUGCCCAAUGAAUAUUUUUAAAUGGCAGUCUUAGCGUGAGGACAUUAAGGUAGCAAAAUAAUUUGUGCUUUUAUUGAGUUCCAGUAUGAAUGAAGUUAUUGGUUAAUUAUCUUUUUAUUUUGUUUAUGAAUUUAAUUUAAUAUAAAAAAAUAUUGUUGUAAUAAUACAAAGAUAAGUCUUCGGAAAUUCUUUUUUAAAAUUGACAGAUUUUGUUAAUUUUAAAAAUUUUCUAGGGCAGAAUUUUAUAUAAUUGGUUAUUCUAUUAAUAAUUAUAAGAAUUACUCCGGAGUUAACAGAAAAUCAUACCCAAUCUAGUUCUUAUAGUAAGGUAAGUUUUACAUCGAUGUUGUAUUUGAGUUUAUUAAAAAAGGAGAAUAUUUAAGUUUUAAGACUGUUCUUCUUUUAAUUAAUUUAACGUGAUAUUAGUUUAAUUCAUUGUGAGAUAGAAUUGUUUAUCUUGAUUAUUAUUAAGUUAUAGUUUUAAUAGUACGAAAGGAAAAUUAAAAAAAGUUUUAAACUUUUUAAAAGAAAAAUUUCUUA